AGUGAACGCUGGCGGUAGGCCUAACACAUGCAAGUCGAACGGCAGCACAGUAAGAGCUUGCUCUUACGGGUGGCGAGUGGCGGACGGGUGAGGAAUACAUCGGAAUCUACUUUUUCGUGGGGGAUAACGUAGGGAAACUUACGCUAAUACCGCAUACGACCUACGGGUGAAAGCAGGGGAUCUUCGGACCUUGCGCGAUUGAAUGAGCCGAUGUCGGAUUAGCUAGUUGGCGGGGUAAAGGCCCACCAAGGCGACGAUCCGUGGCUGGUCUGAGAGGAUGAUCAGCCACACUGGAACUGAGGCACGGUCCAGACUCCUACGGGAGGCAGCAGUGGGGAAUAUUGGACAAUGGGCGAAAGCCUGAUCCAGCCAUACCGCGUGGGUGAAGAAGGCCUUCGGGUUGUAAAGCCCUUUUGUUGGGAAAGAAAAGCAGCAGGUUAAUACACCGAUGUUCUGACGGUACCCAAAGAAUAAGCACCGGCUAACUUCGUG
This 492-nucleotide ribosomal RNA is filed under the name uncultured bacterium. Its description in RNAcentral is "partial 16S ribosomal RNA". It matches the Rfam family "Bacterial small subunit ribosomal RNA", at positions 29 to 507 of the family's 1533-position model. The record is from RNAcentral.